CAGUCGCCGCGGGAAUACGUAGGGUGCGAGCGUUAAUCGGAAUUACUGGGCGUAAAGCGUGCGCAGGCGGUUGUGUAAGACAGGUGUGAAAUCCCCGGGCUUAACCUGGGAACUGCGCUUGUGACUGCACAGCUAGAGUAUGGCAGAGGGGGGUGGAAUUCCACGUGUAGCAGUGAAAUGCGUAGAGAUGUGGAGGAACACCGAUGGCGAAGGCAGCCCCCUGGGCCAAUACUGACGCUCAUGCACGAAAGCGUGGGGAGCAAACAGGAUUAGAUACCCGGGUAGUCCCUGUCUCUUAUAC
RNAcentral lists this ribosomal RNA (301 nucleotides) under uncultured bacterium. Its description in RNAcentral is "partial 16S ribosomal RNA". It matches the Rfam family "Bacterial small subunit ribosomal RNA", at positions 509 to 807 of the family's 1533-position model. The record is from RNAcentral.